GAGUUUGAUCGUGGCUCAGAUUGAACGCUGGCGGCAUGCCUUACACAUGCAAGUCGAACGGCAGCAUGAUCUAGCUUGCUAGAUUGAUGGCGAGUGGCGAACGGGUGAGUAAUACAUCGGAACGUGCCCUGUAGUGGGGAUAACUAGUCGAAAGAUUAGCUAAUACCGCAUACGACCUGAGGGUGAAAGUGGGGGACCGCAAGGCCUCAUGCUAUAGGAGCGGCCGAUGUCUGAUUAGCUAGUUGGUGGGGUAAAGGCCCACCAAGGCGACGAUCAGUAGCUGGUCUGAGAGGACGAUCAGCCACACUGGGACUGAGACACGGCCCAGACUCCUACGGGAGGCAGCAGUGGGGAAUUUUGGACAAUGGGCGAAAGCCUGAUCCAGCAAUGCCGCGUGUGUGAAGAAGGCCU
RNAcentral lists this ribosomal RNA (411 nucleotides) under uncultured microorganism. RNAcentral describes it as "bacterial SSU rRNA". It matches the Rfam family "Bacterial small subunit ribosomal RNA", at positions 9 to 417 of the family's 1533-position model. The record is from RNAcentral.